AACGAACGCUGGCGGCAUGCCUAACACAUGCAAGUCGAACGAGACCUUCGGGUCUAGUGGCGCACGGGUGCGUAACGCGUGGGAACCUGCCCUUAGGUUCGGAAUAACUCCCCGAAAGGGGUGCUAAUACCGGAUAAUGUCUUCGGACCAAAGAUUUUUCGCCUUUGGAUGGGCCCGCGUUGGAUUAGCUUGUUGGUAGGGUAAAAGCCUACCAAGGCGACGAUCCAUAGCUGGUCUGAGAGGAUGCUCAGCCACACUGGGACUGAGACACGGCCCAGACUCCUACGGGAGGCAGCAGUGGGGAAUAUUGGACAGUGGGCGAAAGCCUGAUCCAGCAAUGCCGCGUGAGUGAUGAAGGCCUUAGGGUUGUAAGGCUCUUUUACCCGGGAUGAUAAUGACAGUACCGGGAGAAUAAGCUCCGGCUAACUCCGUG
RNAcentral lists this ribosomal RNA (433 nucleotides) under uncultured bacterium. Its description in RNAcentral is "partial 16S ribosomal RNA". It matches the Rfam family "Bacterial small subunit ribosomal RNA", at positions 29 to 507 of the family's 1533-position model. The record is from RNAcentral.